RNAcentral lists this transfer RNA (75 nucleotides) under Candidatus Pacearchaeota archaeon. Its description in RNAcentral is "tRNA-Gly". It matches the Rfam family "tRNA". From Rfam's summary of the family: Transfer RNA (tRNA) molecules are approximately 80 nucleotides in length. Lineage: Archaea; Nanobdellati. RNAcentral also lists the same sequence under 3 other names. The record is from RNAcentral.
GCGGGCGUCGUAUAGUGGCUAUUAUGUAACCUUGCCAAGGUUAAGACGGCAGUUCGAUUCUGCUCGCCCGCUCCA